AAUAGAGCGUCUGAUCAAAACCAGAAGACACUUGAAGAUGGUACUCACGGAGACACUCUUUUGACGAGGAACAUGCGAAUGCGAUACCAUUAUAUCAAUAGCAUGCCCCGGUGCGAUUAAAAAAAAAAAAAAUCCUAUUUUUCACCAAAUAAUCUGAUGAAAAGAAGUAAAUAUGUCAAAUAUAUAUAACUUUAGGUCAUUUCUGGAUGUGGAUUUUCUAUAUAUUUCAGUAUAAUCAAGUCUUAAACUUUUUGGUCCCUGU
This 262-nucleotide long non-coding RNA is filed under the name Capsella rubella. Its description in RNAcentral is "long non-coding RNA (CRUB_LNC000820)". The record is from RNAcentral. Lineage: Eukaryota; Viridiplantae; Streptophyta; Magnoliopsida; Brassicales; Brassicaceae.